Long non-coding RNA from Exaiptasia diaphana, 270 nucleotides. RefSeq lists it as uncharacterized. NCBI's taxonomy places the organism in Eukaryota, Metazoa, Cnidaria, Anthozoa, Actiniaria, Aiptasiidae. The transcript is spliced from 3 exons. The record is from RefSeq and is a predicted model, not a curated record.
AAACUUAUGAUGAACACAAUGUCCAGACGCAUCCACCUGGUUUUCAUGUCAUCUUUCUGCCAUUUGCCGAUGAUAUGAGGAAACUUAAUUACCCUGAAACAGCCAAAGCUACCAAUAAACAAAUAAGCAAAGCAAAAGAUAUAAUCAAGAAACUUACUUUUACUUUUGAUGCAUCAAGUUUUGAAAAUCCAUCUUUGCAGAAGCAUUAUCGUCACCUUGAAGGGCUGGCUUUGGACAGAGAUGCACCAGACGACUUCACUGAUCUAACAG